Molecule: long non-coding RNA, 2845 nt
Filed under: Mus pahari (shrew mouse)
Lineage: Eukaryota; Metazoa; Chordata; Mammalia; Rodentia; Muridae
Description: RIKEN cDNA 5031434C07 gene (MGP_PahariEiJ_G0002985.1)
Source: RNAcentral
UAGGAUGCAAUGCCAACUCACGAUAAGAAGAAAUACUAUGGUCCAGAGCCUUCUUAACAUCUCCUGCACUUCAAAGACUCUGCAGUUGGCAGUGAUUCUAAUGUUUCCCUAAGCAUGGUCAAGGUGGCUACAGAGAGACAAACGUCCACAAAUUCUCACAGAUGGAAGUUUUCCACUGGCCUAUUUUGGUAUAAAUAUUCAUCAAGGGCUAGAAAAUUAAACUAGAUAUGGGUCUGAGCUAGAAGCAGUUUCAACUUUCAACUUUCAACUUUCAGUCACCCUCUCAGGAGGGCCGGAUCUUCUGAGAUGUGACUGCUGUUGUUUGGAGACCAGGGUCAACUGUCUCCCCAGCCUAUGGAAAUCCCUGGUUUGUUCUCAGGGGACCUUUGGCUGGAGAGUGGCGGCUGUUGGAUUCACAGGAAGGCCCGGAGUUGGUUCUUUGGAAGUAUAUCAAGGUGUGGCUCAUCCGCAUCCUGCAGCGACUGCUUUGGAAGGUAAGUUUGAGGGGAGAUAAUCUGAGACUGGUUUAGAAUGCUUUCUCACUUUAUCUUUCUUUAGGUCUUAAGACAUCUCUUGGGUACCAUGGAGGGCAGACAUCAAGGUGUCCGUCUCCCUCUACUCCUGCAUCUCUUGCCUUUGCUGGCUCUGGUUUUGGCUCAUCAAUGUAAAGGCCUAUGAGUCAACAGUGCAGCCACAUGGGGCCCCGUGGAUGGAAGAGAAGGGAGUGGUCUUCUUUCUCUCUUCCACAUCUGUAUCAACCACCCACCCCCAUGUUCUAUUCUCCUUCUCCUCCUCCUCUCAGCAAUGACUGUGUCUGUCCAGAGAGGGGGCAAAGCUGCUGUUCCCUUACCCCAUUCAUCUGCGUCUUUCUCUUACUUCCUGCUUGCUUACUCUGCUCCACCCACCACACUGCCAAGCCCUUCCUGUGUGCUUCAAUAACAGGGAGCGCACCGAGGGGAAUGAGGCCAGGCAGAGGAUUUCAGCGCAAACAGGAUAUUGUGGUGCAGGAAAUAAAGCAGGCAAGACAACAAUGGCAGAUGUCCCUGGACCACUCUGAAGAUGGGUGUAUGGAGGGAGAAGAAGGCCCUCUCUGCAAGCAGGGGUGUGUGCAAGAAAGUUCUGAUCAUUCAGAGGAGGCUGGGUACUGUCAGUACAUGACUGAAGAGGGACCAUCAGAGAAAUGGUAACUCUGGACUAAUAGAAGGGAGCUUUAAAAGCUCCAGCAGCCGUUCCUUGAGACAGACUUCUUUAAUGUAGCAUCCACUAGGCUGCUACAAGAGCGUAGCCUUCAGCCCCACUGUCCCCUGAUCAUCUGUUCACAGAUCCAUCUCUUCACACCUUUAGCAGAACUUCAAAGUAAAAUUUGUACAGCACUUCCCCACGUUGUUGCCUGGGUGUGUGAUGAAUGUGCACGCGGGUGUCCGUGUGUUUGCCACGGUGUGCAUGUGGAUGUCAGGGGGCAGCCUUGUGUAUUGAUCUUCACCUUUCACUUUCUUUGAGACAGAGCCUCCUGCUGGUCACUGCCUCAUUAGCUAGACUAGUAACAUCCACCUUCCAGAAGGAUCACAGUGAUUGCAAAUGUAAAAUAUUCAAAAAUCUCAAGUAUUCACUUGAUUACUUUAUAUGUGUAUUCCCUAAAACCACUAUCAGAUAAAAUACAGAAACCCUGCAUUCCAUAAAGUUCCCAAGUGCUCCUUUCUUGGCAAUAACCAGUUUUUAGAAAAAUAGCUAUCUUCUAUCUUUGUAGACUUCUUUCCACUCUGUUCAGAACAUUAUGCAGGAGAAAGUCUAUGGUAUCAUAUAAUUUUGCUUCUUAAUUUCUCUAUUCAAAAUGUUUAAGAUUACCCGGGUGGUUGCAUACAUUAAAUAAUAAAAAAAAAAAAAACCUACUUAGCCUCUGUUAUCUAAAUAUCCAUUCUCAUGUUGAUGAGGGUUUGAAUUGCCUACAGUCAAGGGCUGUUGUAGAUAAAAAUCAUUCCAGACACGCGUGUCUCAGUGCUUGCGGUGGAUGCCCACGGCCCUUUCUCCUGGACGUGUACAUCAGAGUAAAACUGUUAUAGGGUAGAUAGGCAUUAAACCCCAGGAGAAGGGACCAGCAGCUUCUAGUUGUAUCAUCUUAUAGUCUCCCUGGCAACAUCACGUGACUUCUAGUUGUUCCACUUCUUUCCCAGACUUGGUAAUGCCUGCUUUAAUUUCAACAUUCCACUGAGUAUCCAACACAAUCUCAUUAUGCUUUUACUUUGUAUUUCUUGAAGAAAUAAUGAUAUCAACCUCUCCCCCCCCCCUUGUCUGCACAUACAAGCUAUUUAGGCUUCUUCUUUUGUGAUAUAUCUGGUCCAGCCUUUGUUUUUAGGAACUGGAGACAUGGUUUAGUGAUUUAGAGUACUUGCUGCUAUUGUAGAGGACCCAGGCUCAGUUCCCAGCACCUACUUGGUAACUCCCCAACGAUUUGGAACAGCAGAACCAGGAGAUACGAUGCCCUCUUCUGGUCUUUGCAAGUAUCUGCUUGUGUAUGGCACAAUACUAAUGUGCCAUAAACAUGCUUAAAUAAAACUAUUUUUUAAAGUUGGCCAUUACGAAUCAGUUUGUGGAAGAAAUCUAUGUAUUCUGGAUACAACUUUUUGUCAAAAGCAUCUAUGUGCACAACACUUGGAAAGCUUUCUCUUUGUAGACUAUCUCUCAUCUAUUGGUGAUGUCUUUUAGUGAAAGCGAGGUAAUCUUGACAGACAGCUCUCUCAUUUAUUUAUACCUACUCCCUCCAGAUAAGAAGUCACAGAGGUACUAUCUUGAUCACAAUGUCACUGUUCUAAGCAUUUUAGAUGGCAAUAAACUAUGACUACUCUGC